GAAAUGGCAAACCGCCGGUAACAGCGGGACGCAAAACUACCGGUCCGAACGGCCAACCCAAGAAUGUUUUGGGAGCCAGCGGACAGCGGAGUUACCGA
Molecule: non-coding RNA, 98 nt
Filed under: marine eukaryotic metagenome
Description: Cyclic di-GMP-I riboswitch
Rfam family: c-di-GMP-I riboswitch aptamer
About the family: GEMM was predicted in a large-scale screen for bacterial structured RNA regulatory elements. Genes associated with GEMM are involved in a diverse array of functions, including chemotaxis regulation, signal transduction, secretion and chitin.
Source: RNAcentral